UUGGCCCUACGGGGGGCAGCAGUGAGGAAUAUUGGUCAAUGGGCGCAAGCCUGAACCAGCCAAGUCGCGUGAGGGAUGACGGUCCUAUGGAUUGUAAACCUCUUUUGUCAGGGAACAAAGGCGGGGACGUGUCCCCGGAUGAGUGUACCUGAAGAAAAAGCAUCGGCUAACUCCGUGCCAGCAGCCGCGGUAAUACGGAGGAUGCGAGCGUUAUCCGGAUUUAUUGGGUUUAAAGGGUGCGCAGGCGGUCUGUUAAGUCAGCGGUCAAAGCCCGGGGCUCAACCCCGGCCCGCCG
RNAcentral lists this ribosomal RNA (295 nucleotides) under uncultured bacterium. RNAcentral describes it as "partial 16S ribosomal RNA". It matches the Rfam family "Bacterial small subunit ribosomal RNA", at positions 333 to 626 of the family's 1533-position model. The record is from RNAcentral.